AAUCCCCUGCUUUUCCGAAGCCCUGCGUUCCACGCGGGGUACGUUGUAGUCAAAGUGGGGGAUU
The submitters of this non-coding RNA (64 nucleotides) gave its source as unclassified sequences. The record is from Rfam.